GAUUUUUUCCUCCCUCAACUGUCAAUCUUUCCGUCUCCCUUCUCAACAAAUGAAUGUCCAGUUGCUUUUCGAACAAUUAAUGGUAGAUCGACAAUCGAAUGGACUGGAUUCUCUUCUUUGAUUUGGACACCAAAUUAUGGAUAAUCUCAUAGUUUGGCCACCGGAAGAAAUAGGAUAGCCGAAGAGCAACAUGUUACUGAAACAGAGAGGAUUAGUGACAGGCAACAUCAAGAAAACUUGACAGCUAAGAAGACAUUGCUGCAAAAUGAGGGUAUGCGAAAUAAAUACUAUGGACUUCAGUUCUGCUCAACCGCUUUGUCAAUGUAUUUCUCGACUUGGAUCUAGCACCAGUUAUAAUGGGAGAUGAUUUUGGUGACCACUACUGCUCUGAGUUGUGAUGCCAAAAGCAAUUUUCAGGCUGUUAUCGAGUCGUGUUUGAUUCUCUAAGUCCAAUCAAGCACUUUGCUUCCUUGCUGGUGCUUAUUCAGUCUUCACCAGCGAUUUUUUUUUGGCAGCUUUCAGCAAUGAUUUUGAUGCAGAGCAAAUGAUUUUUAAGGUUCUAUGAUUGACACAAUUUCAAGAAUCAGCUGCCUCAUAAUCAUAGUUCGUGUGAUAAAUUAAUAUUAUUUAUAAAUGCAAGUCAUAUUGCAAAAUCUCAGUUUCUGUAGGAAUUGGGAAACCUCUAGCUUUUAUUACCUUUUUUCUCACAACACCUGGACAUUUCCCUGCAUGUAAUAUUGUGAAACUCUGAUAUCAUUCGGGCAAGUAAAAUAAUGGAAUUUUCUGUAUACUUUUAAUUGAUAGAUUCUAAGUAGCUGAAGCAGGGGAAAGUACUUCUGCGAAAAUGUAGAUAAG
Papaver somniferum (opium poppy) is the source of this 855-nucleotide long non-coding RNA. RefSeq lists it as uncharacterized. Lineage: Eukaryota; Viridiplantae; Streptophyta; Magnoliopsida; Ranunculales; Papaveraceae. The record is from RefSeq and is a predicted model, not a curated record. The transcript is spliced from 3 exons.